UUAGGAAUUUUGGGCAAUGGGCGCAAGCCUGACCCAGCAACGCCGCGUGGGUGACGACGGCCUUCGGGUUGUAAAGCCCUUUUCUGGGGGAAGAUGAUGACGGUACCCCAGGAAGAAGCACCGGCUAACUACGUGCCAGCAGCCGCGGUAAUACGUAGGGUGCGAGCGUUGCCCGGAUUUAUUGGGCGUAAAGGGCGCGUAGGCGGCCCGGUGCGUCCCGCGUGAAAACGCCCGGCUCAACUGGGCGAGGCCGCGGGAAACGAUCGGGCUAGAGCACGGUAGGGGGCAGUGGAAUUCCCGGUGUAGUGGUGGAAUGCGUAGAUAUCGGGAGGAACACCAGUGGCGAAGGCGGCUGCCUGGACCGGUGCUGACGCUGAGGCGCGAAAGCGUGGGGAGCGAUCCGGAUUAGAUACCCCUGUAGUCC
This 424-nucleotide ribosomal RNA is filed under the name uncultured bacterium. Its description in RNAcentral is "bacterial SSU rRNA". It matches the Rfam family "Bacterial small subunit ribosomal RNA", at positions 355 to 796 of the family's 1533-position model. The record is from RNAcentral.